This 406-nucleotide ribosomal RNA is filed under the name uncultured bacterium. Its description in RNAcentral is "bacterial SSU rRNA". It matches the Rfam family "Bacterial small subunit ribosomal RNA", at positions 30 to 438 of the family's 1533-position model. The record is from RNAcentral.
AUUGAACGCUGGCGGCAUGCCUUACACAUGCAAGUCGAACGGCAGCACGGGAGCAAUCCUGGUGGCGAGUGGCGAACGGGUGAGUAAUAUAUCGGAACAUACCCUAGAGUGGGGGAUAACGUAGCGAAAGUUACGCUAAUACCGCAUACGCACUAAGGUGGAAAGUGGGGGAUCUUCGGACCUCAUGCUCAUGGAGUGGCCGAUAUCUGAUUAGCUAGUUGGUGAGGUAAAGGCUCACCAAGGCAACGAUCAGUAGCUGGUUUGAGAGAACGACCAGCCACACUGGAACUGAGACACGGUCCAGACUCCUACGGGAGGCAGCAGUGGGGAAUUUUGGACAAUGGGGGCAACCCUGAUCCAGCAAUGCCGCGUGAGUGAAGAAGGCCUUCGGUUGUAAGCUCUUUGU